UCUUCCAUCUAGCAUAUCCUAGAAUAACAAGGAAGAGCAUUAUACAACCUAUUGUCAUGCAUAAUACAAAGGGCCAAAAUAACCCCUCUGUGUGGUACAAGGUACAAGGUAUAUUCAUGCCAAACCAACCAGCUAUCAGAGUCUCCACAGCUACAGCAAAUGAUGCAAUCGUCAGUGUCAACUGCAGCUGAAUAAGUUCAUUACGCUGAUUGUCCAGUUGAAUAUUGACGUAGUCUUCAGUGUCAUCAAUGUACUCACGGACAGAUAAUAUCUUGUUCCGAGUGCCUUCCAACUGCAUGAAAUAGGCCUCGAGUAACAUCUCCAGAUCUUCCACAUCAUAGUAAUUAAAAUGAUUGCUCACCAAACUUCCACUUCUGCUUCUAGCUGAAUUAAGUCUCCGAAGAUUUGGUGCAGCAGGAACAGGGCUAUUUGAAACGAUAGUUCCCAAAAGAGUCUCAGGUUGCUGGUUCUGAAUCCAUUUCCUAGUCAAGUACAACUGUGCCAUGUCUUCAUUGUCAUCUAAAAGGUGUUCUAUUUCAUCUCUAACCUUCUGCACUCUGGCAAGCAAUCGGGUAAGAUUACUUUUUAAACUUCUCACUUGCUCAAGAUUCUUCGUGCUAACAUUCAUGGCCAGUUCAUCCAAAACAGGGUAAGCAUCUCUCUCUAGAUCCGCUACACUAGAGUCUAAGAAUGUGCAAACAACCUCCAGUGCAAUUUCAAGCACCUGAAACUCAAAUGGUAGCUCAGCCUGCAGACCUUCUACAGCUUCUGGAACAGGUAACCAGUGUCCAGCAUUUGGAAAGUGUCCUUCAUUGUCAUCUUGUUCAGUGCUAGUACCAUUAACUUUUAAAAGACUUUUAUGAGGAAGUUG
Molecule: unclassified non-coding RNA, 871 nt
Filed under: Hevea brasiliensis (rubber tree)
Lineage: Eukaryota; Viridiplantae; Streptophyta; Magnoliopsida; Malpighiales; Euphorbiaceae
Source: RNAcentral